Molecule: long non-coding RNA, 1010 nt
Filed under: Mytilus galloprovincialis (Mediterranean mussel)
Lineage: Eukaryota; Metazoa; Mollusca; Bivalvia; Mytilida; Mytilidae
Source: RNAcentral
UCUACCUUUUGAAAAAUAGUAAUUAUAAAUAUAAAAUUUUGAACAAAGAAAGAUAACUCCAAAUCAAAAUAUAUAAUUUGCCUGAAUGUGUUCCAAUGCUAAACUACAAUAAAAUGUACAAAUCAAUGUUACAUGUAUAUGUUUAGCUUACAUUGCAAUAUGAAAGCAAUCUUAACCUUUUAUUCUGAUAAGAACUUUGUUAUUCUUUACAUAAAACUUUUAGUUUUCAAUAAGUUUGAUACGUUCAAGCUUUUAAUUUUCCAUGGAGUUCUUUAUUUUUGUUGUUUUACCUGUAAGUUUUCCUUUAUUUUCCUUUUAAUUGCCUUUACUAACGAUUAACAUUAUUGUAAAAAAACAUGAAUUUCAUAACGUACACAUCCAAUAAAAGAAAUGUUUGAUAUUUUUGAAAGAGAAAGGAACAAUUUACUAUAUAUAUUGCUAUCAAUACGAAAAAGUAGGCAAAACAAUUGUAAUUGAAGUUUUGUGUGUCAUGGUGCAAUAUUUUCUAGCUCAGUAUGCAUGUAACGAUGAUGUUUGUAGACUGUGGACAAUUUCUGUAUGUUCACAUAUUAAAUUGUAUCAUACAUUCCAAAGAUGUUUCAUUCAAACUUUGUCAUUUUAAAAACAGCAUUAUAUUUAAUAAAUGUUCAAUAUUGUUCUAUUACAACUUUUAUUUCUGAUGGAAACUUAUAGCUUUAAGGUGCUGAAGAAGAGAAGGGAAUUCCUGUCCAUGUUUUCAUAGAAGAGCCUGAAAAUGAGAUAUUGCAAAAUAAAUAGUUUUAAAGACUACAAACAUACUUUGUGAUGAAGAACAGUAAUAAAAAAGCUUUUCUAUUGCUUUGAGUAUUUUUUGGUCGUAUAUUGGUACAAUGUAUCACGUUGGCGUCGUCGUCUGAAUCAUUGUCGUUGUCGUCCGAAUACUUUUAGUUUUUGCACUCUAACUUUAGUAAAAAAGAAUACAAAUCUAUGAAAUUUUAACACAAGGUUUAUGACCAUAAAAGGAAGGUUGG